This 201-nucleotide unclassified non-coding RNA is filed under the name uncultured Cladophialophora. RNAcentral describes it as "sequence contains ITS1". The record is from RNAcentral. Lineage: Eukaryota; Fungi; Ascomycota; Eurotiomycetes; Chaetothyriales; Herpotrichiellaceae.
ACGAGUAAGGGUCUCUCCGGCCCGACCUCCCAACCCUUUGUUUACUAGACCUCUUGUUGCUUCGGCGGACCCGUCCCAAACGGACCGCCGGAGGACCGCCCACCGUGCCGCGUCCUCUGGCCAGCGUCCGCCGAUAGCCUCUUCAAACUCUGGAACAACCAUGAUUUUACUGUCUAAGUGAAUUUAUUCAAUUAAAAGCAA